RNAcentral lists this ribosomal RNA (253 nucleotides) under uncultured bacterium. Its description in RNAcentral is "partial 16S ribosomal RNA". It matches the Rfam family "Bacterial small subunit ribosomal RNA", at positions 524 to 776 of the family's 1533-position model. The record is from RNAcentral.
UACGGAAGGGGCUAGCGUUGUUCGGAAUUACUGGGCGUAAAGAGCGCGUAGGCGGCUUACCAAGUUGGGGGUGAAAUCCCGGAGCUCAACUCCGGAACUGCCUUCAAAACUGGUAGGCUCGAGUCCGGAAGAGGGGCGUGGAAUUCCCAGUGUAGAGGUGAAAUUCGUAGAGAUUGGGAAGAACACCGGUGGCGAAGGCGGCGCCCUGGUCCGGUACUGACGAUGAGGCGCGAAAGAAUGGGGAGCAAACAGG